UUGUUGUUUUUUUUUAGUUUAAACUUGGUUUUGUGGGGGGACGAACAGCGUGACAAUUAAAGAAGAUGUAGGAAUCAAAAGCUUCCUGAGGCCUACAACCAGAAGCAGAUGCUGGUGCCAUGCUUCUACAGCCUGCAGAACUGAAGCACUUUAUAGCUUCUCUUUGGCAUAUCCAAAUUGCCAGCAUCACCGCUCUUGCACUCCGAGCCAUUAUUAAGUAAAGAACACAAACACUGUGAUACCGCUACACUUGAUCUGAUAACCAAGAAGUCUACUAAGUGACUAACAGCAGAGCAACUGGGAACCUAAUUCUGACCAACAAGGAGGAAUUGUUUGGCUAAUUGGAAGUGACAGAAACCUUGGGAGAAAGCAACCGCAUACCAAGGAUAAUUGUAAGAAGAAGAGAAGACAUGGAGAAGAGGAGGGGAUAGUUGUGACUGUGGAGGCAGAGAAUGGAGUAAUGUGAUCAUAAAUCAAGGAAUGCUGACAGCCACUAAAGCUGGAGAAGGCCAAGGACAGAUUUCCAAUCCUCCCGCAGAAGUACAGCCCUGCUAAUGCAUUGAUUUUGGACUUCUGGCCUCAGAACUGUAAGAGAAUAAAUUUCUAUUGUUUUAAACCAUCA
This 622-nucleotide non-coding RNA is filed under the name Pongo abelii (Sumatran orangutan). Lineage: Eukaryota; Metazoa; Chordata; Mammalia; Primates; Hominidae. The record is from RNAcentral.